RNAcentral lists this ribosomal RNA (403 nucleotides) under uncultured bacterium. RNAcentral's name for it is "bacterial SSU rRNA". It matches the Rfam family "Bacterial small subunit ribosomal RNA", at positions 75 to 507 of the family's 1533-position model. The record is from RNAcentral.
UGAUACUUUAUUACAUUUCUAGUGGCGGACGGGUGAGUAACACGUUGGAACCUGCCCCAAAGUGAGGAAUAGCCACCGAAAGGUGGUCUAAUACUUCAUAAUAUCCAUCUCGUAUGGAUUAAAGCUUUAUGCGCUUUGGGAGGGGCCUGCGUAACAUUAGCUAGUUGGUGAGGUAAAAGCUCACCAAGGCUUCGAUGUUUAACUGGUUUGAGAGGAUGACCAGUCACACUGGGACUGAGAUACGGCCCAGACUCCUACGGGAGGCAGCAGUAAGGAAUCUUCCACAAUGGGGCAACCUGAUGGAGCAAUACCGCGUGCAGGAUGAAGCGUUUCGGCGUGUAAACUGCUUUUAUCACCGAAGAUUAUGACUGUAGGUGAAGAAUAAGGACCGGCUAACUACGUG